This 255-nucleotide ribosomal RNA is filed under the name uncultured bacterium. RNAcentral's name for it is "partial 16S ribosomal RNA". It matches the Rfam family "Bacterial small subunit ribosomal RNA", at positions 99 to 354 of the family's 1533-position model. The record is from RNAcentral.
CGGACGGGUGAGUAACGCGUGGAUAACCUGCCCCAUACCGGGGGAUAACAGUCGGAAACGGCUGCUAAUACCGCAUAAGCGCACGGGAAUGCAUGUUUCUGUGUGAAAAACUCCGGUGGUAUGGGAUGGAUCCGCGUCUGAUUAGCUGGUUGGCGGGGUAGAGGCCCACCAAGGCGACGAUCAGUAGCCGACCUGAGAGGGUGGCCGGCCACAUUGGGACUGAGACACGGCCCAGACUCCUACGGAAGGCAGCAG